UUCAUGGAGAGUUUGAUCCUGGCUCAGGACGAACGCUGGCGGCGUGCCUAAUACAUGCAAGUCGAGCGAAUCAAUAAGAGCUUGCUCCGGUUGGUUAGCGGCGGACGGGUGAGUAACACGUGGGCAACCUGCCUGUAAGACUGGGAUAACACCGGGAAACCGGUGCUAAUACCGGAUAAUCCUUUUCCUCUCAUG
This 195-nucleotide ribosomal RNA is filed under the name Bacillus sp. ISL-18. RNAcentral's name for it is "partial 16S ribosomal RNA". It matches the Rfam family "Bacterial small subunit ribosomal RNA", at positions 1 to 192 of the family's 1533-position model. Lineage: Bacteria; Bacillati; Bacillota; Bacilli; Caryophanales; Bacillaceae. The record is from RNAcentral.